Molecule: transfer RNA, 85 nt
Filed under: marine eukaryotic metagenome
Rfam family: tRNA
About the family: Transfer RNA (tRNA) molecules are approximately 80 nucleotides in length. Their secondary structure includes four short double-helical elements and three loops (D, anti-codon, and T loops).
Source: RNAcentral
GAGGGGUGGCCGAGUGGCUGAAGGCGCCGGUUUGCUAAACCGGUAUACGGGAAACUGUAUCGUGGGUUCGAAUCCCAUCUCCUCC